This 500-nucleotide ribosomal RNA is filed under the name uncultured bacterium. RNAcentral's name for it is "partial 16S ribosomal RNA". It matches the Rfam family "Bacterial small subunit ribosomal RNA", at positions 30 to 523 of the family's 1533-position model. The record is from RNAcentral.
AUUGAACGCUGGCGGAAUGCUUUACACAUGCAAGUCGAACGGCAGCACGGACUUCGGUCUGGUGGCGAGUGGCGAACGGGUGAGUAAUGUAUCGGAACGUGCCCAGUCGUGGGGGAUAACGUAGUGAAAAUUACGCUAAUACCGCAUACGAUCUAUGGAUGAAAGCGGGGGAUCGCAAGACCUCGCGCGAUUCGAGCGGCCGAUAUCAGACUAGGUAGUUGGUGGGGUAAAGGCCCACCAAGCCAACGAUCUGUAGCUGGUCUGAGAGGACGACCAGCCACACUGGAACUGAGACACGGUCCAGACUCCUACGGGAGGCAGCAGUGGGGAAUUUUGGAAAAUGGGCGAAAGCCUGAUCCAGCCAUUCCGCGUGCAGGAUGAAGGCCCUCGGGUUGUAAACUGCUUUUGUACAGAACGAAAAGGUUUCUACUAAUACUAGGAGCUCAUGACGGUACUGUAAGAAUAAGCACCGGCUAACUACGUGCCAGCAGCCGCCGUAA